RNAcentral lists this ribosomal RNA (515 nucleotides) under Citrobacter braakii. RNAcentral's name for it is "bacterial SSU rRNA". It matches the Rfam family "Bacterial small subunit ribosomal RNA", at positions 80 to 591 of the family's 1533-position model. Lineage: Bacteria; Pseudomonadati; Pseudomonadota; Gammaproteobacteria; Enterobacterales; Enterobacteriaceae. The record is from RNAcentral.
CUCCUUGGGUGACGAGUGGCGGACGGGUGAGUAAUGUCUGGGAAACUGCCCGAUGGAGGGGGAUAACUACUGGAAACGGUAGCUAAUACCGCAUAACGUCGCAAGACCAAAGAGGGGGACCUUCGGGCCUCUUGCCAUCGGAUGUGCCCAGAUGGGAUUAGCUAGUAGGUGGGGUAACGGCUCACCUAGGCGACGAUCCCUAGCUGGUCUGAGAGGAUGACCAGCCACACUGGAACUGAGACACGGUCCAGACUCCUACGGGAGGCAGCAGUGGGGAAUAUUGCACAAUGGGCGCAAGCCUGAUGCAGCCAUGCCGCGUGUAUGAAGAAGGCCUUCGGGUUGUAAAGUACUUUCAGCGAGGAGGAAGGUGUUGAGGUUAAUAACCGCAGCAAUUGACGUUACUCGCAGAAGAAGCACCGGCUAACUCCGUGCCAGCAGCCGCGGUAAUACGGAGGGUGCAAGCGUUAAUCGGAAUUACUGGGCGUAAAGCGCACGCAGGCGGUCUGUCAAGUCGG